UCAGGUGCUGACCGAUAUCGCAUUACUGGGAGCUGCCUUGGUCCUGUUCAGCUUACAGGUUUACUUCAUACUGGUCGUCUUCUCGCAUUACCAGAACAUGAAGAAGUCGUCUCGACAAUUAUCUGUUGUUAUAAAAAUGUGAGUGGUUGAACAAAUAUGUGGUCUGGGGAAUGAAUAAAUGAAUAUAUAUAUAA
Molecule: long non-coding RNA, 194 nt
Organism: Rhipicephalus microplus (southern cattle tick)
Lineage: Eukaryota; Metazoa; Arthropoda; Arachnida; Ixodida; Ixodidae
Source: RefSeq, a predicted model, not a curated record